UUUGCGGUAUAGUGGGAACGACUGUGUUUUGGUGUGAAUGGCAAGAGAGUUGGAACAGAACGAUUCUGAUGCUUUGUACAGGUCCAUAUUCUAUUAAGGAAAACCUUGUUGAACUUAAGAAGAAAGUGUAUCAUCUCGUCCACUUAAGCAUGACUAUCUGAGAAAGUUGAGCCAAUGAUCCUACGCCUCCUGCUGUUGAUGGCAUUGUUGAAGCAGCUCUACUUGAUGUCUGCUGAAAUCCAAAGUCAAGAUUCUUCCAAACUUGGCAAAAAACAACCAAAUUUAUUCCAUGGAGAGAAUUCUUUGAGAAACUGUGGUAUUUUGGUGUAACGUGGUUAGGAUACGAACAUUUCUGGGUUCCAAUAAUUUCAACCCACCAUGUUAAAAACUGGUUGAAGUGACACCUUACCAUAGCAAGAGUCAUAGACACCGGACACCUAUCUUAUCUUAUCUUAUUUUGGAGAUAAACAUCAUGUGCUUCAAAUACUCAAUAACACUCGGAAAUUGGCAACACAUUAUGUUUAUCGACAUUGUAAACACAAAUGUAAACCAAAAGGUCCAAACGCGUUUUUGUGUCUGUACUCAUAGACAUCGAGUAGUGAAACAGGGAAUUU
Haliotis rubra (blacklip abalone) is the source of this 614-nucleotide long non-coding RNA. RefSeq lists it as uncharacterized. The transcript is spliced from 3 exons. Lineage: Eukaryota; Metazoa; Mollusca; Gastropoda; Lepetellida; Haliotidae. The record is from RefSeq and is a predicted model, not a curated record.